AUGGAAAUGACAGGAGGACAAGAAGGUUGUCCAGCAAUAGGAAAACAAGUUGCUCGCAAGUCGUUCCUCUUUAAAGACUACUCCAGUCGGCGUGUCAGUCAGUCCAGGCAGCGGCUGUGGGAGGAGCUCCUCGGGAGGAGGCUGGCGAGGCUGAGAGAGCCAGGGAAUGGAGCGGAGAAGAGCGCGUACAUGAGCGAAGAGGAGGUAGGCGCCGGGAGAGCGAGCGAGGCUGAGCAACUAAACUCCAUCUCCGCCUUAGCAGCAGAAGCAGGAGCCGCCGCCGCCGCCGCUAUUGCUGCCAACCCAGCGAACGCUUCGCCGGUGUGUAGGAAGAGGGCUUCGGCAAGAGAAGAAGGCAGGCGAGAGCAUCGGGAGGCAGAUAAAGCUAGCCCCCGAAACUGCUUAAGCGCGCAAGUUCGUCUCUCUUAUUUCCCCGCCGAACUCUUAAGGAAUGAAAGCUUUUCAGACAGAUCUCGUCCUCCUCUGCUUCUUCCUCUUCAGUCAAGAUUCACCCUUCACCAAUUCUUGAUCCCAAGGAUGGGUUACAACAUAAACGUACAAUACCAAUUUCAUUAA
Molecule: long non-coding RNA, 576 nt
Filed under: Podarcis muralis (Common wall lizard)
Lineage: Eukaryota; Metazoa; Chordata; Lepidosauria; Squamata; Lacertidae
Description: lncRNA (ENSPMRG00000021342.1)
Source: RNAcentral